Non-coding RNA from Brassica napus (rape), 79 nucleotides. Lineage: Eukaryota; Viridiplantae; Streptophyta; Magnoliopsida; Brassicales; Brassicaceae. The record is from Rfam.
CGCGGGGUAGAGCAGUUUGGUAGCUCGCAAGGCUCAUAACCUUGAGGUCAGGUCACGGAUUUAAAUCAUGUCUCCGCAA